Molecule: long non-coding RNA, 2454 nt
Organism: Cuculus canorus (common cuckoo)
Lineage: Eukaryota; Metazoa; Chordata; Aves; Cuculiformes; Cuculidae
Exons: 5
Source: RefSeq, a predicted model, not a curated record
GCCCAAAAGGCAUGAUCCAAUUUGUCAGGCUUACCACCUCCUCUGAAAAGGUCAUUGCAAACAUAAGAACGUGGUCUAAACUUGGUACAGGUAUGUCUUCUCUGUAAACCUUAUUUCUAGGAACUGGAAUGUUUAGAAGCAGUUUCUGUGUUGGAGAAUUAUCUGAUAACCGCAGGGAUCUGAGGCAAAACACAUUUAGCUGCAACUUCCUUGUAAUGGAUUUGCCAGUGUAAACAACCGUGUCCCUUAAGUCUCUUCCUGUAAACUGCUUCAGAAAAUAGCCUGAAAUGCAAGAUCCGUGGCUGCCUGAUACAUGAGCUGCUGUGGAAGUUCCUGCCCUCAAGUGCAGAGAACACGUAGCCUCUGAUUUAGCUGUCAUUUCUUAACCACUGUUUUGUCCAGCUCUGCCUGUGGCUGCUGCCAGUGGAAGAGUUGAGCAGGAGGUGGGUGCUGGAGCAGCAGUGGGGGUGCUUCCAUCCUCUCCUCCCUGUGGAGAGGCUGUUGUUCAACAGAAUGAGCUGCUGAAAGGUGGUCUUCUGGGUCCUGUUCUCAUGGAGCAUUUUCCAGACGUCAGCAACACAGAGAACCGUGUAUUUGCUGAGUUCCUUUUAAAUCGAUGCUGUAACCCAGCAAAGAAGUGUGGAGAUGAGGCCCAAGAACGCUGGAUGACUGAAGAAAAUCGUUCUAACGCGUGCAGUCAAGCAUUCCAUCUGGAGCAUCCCGGCCAGAGCAUCUUCACUGAACCAUCCCCACGGGAGCAUCCCAUCCAGAGCAUCCCCAGCGGAGCUUUCCCACCGGAGCAUCCCAGCCAGAGCAUCCCCAGCGGAGCUUUCCCACCGGAGCAUCCCAGCCAGAGCAUCCCCACCUGCCCCGUGGCGCCGGCGGCGCUUCUUACGUGAUUCAUACCAGAAGAGGCACAGGAUGAGGCCAAGGCUGGGAAUUUUCCCUGUGGAAGAGGGGAUGCAGAGAAGGCUUCUGAGGGAGCAGCAGCUGAUGGUCCACACACCCAGCAGCUCUGGUGCUCCCACCCAGCAGCUGGGUGACGGCCAAGGCAAAGCUGUCGCCGUCCGGCGGCUAUUGGGUGACUGAUGUGACAAGGGGACACUCCAAGGAAAAGGGGAAGAAAGACAGGCAAGUCAGUCCUGCAUCUCAAUUCAGGUUAACAGCCGUGUGCUUUGCAACUAGGAAAGGUGAAGACCUUAAUUUCAGCAUUUCUUCUGCACUCUGCAGCCCAAACACGGCCCAUCUGCUCUGUGUGAGAGCCUUGGUGCGCCACGUGUGUAUUUCUGUGUCGCAUCCAGAGAAGUGGAUUAAUUUCAAUGGACUCAACCAACCGCCUCAGCCCUCGGCUGUGUGGUAGUGGGGAUGAAGGACAGUUUCCACCUUACAUCGUCUCACUGUCGGAGGUUUUGACCUUGCUCACACGUCUGUUACUGCUUGAUUUAUCUUCACUGACAUUCAGACCAUGACCCUACCAAGGGCGUUAUCAGCCCAUCUCUGGAUUUCAGUGGCCAAAAGCUCAAAAGCCGGGGCCUCAGCAAGAACUUCCUCUGCCUAACCAAUCAGUCUCUGCUAAACUGAUUCAUCCCACUUUAAUCACUUUCUUCAGGAGGUCUCUUUGCCUCCUGGAACCACCCGGUUCACUAGAAAUCACGCUUUUGGAUGUAUUAGAAAUGUAGACCUCAUAUUCCCACGGGCAAGUGGGGAUGUGGUAGAAUGAGUGUGCAUGUUGUAUCUUAAUAAUCGAUUCUUGUGGAGUUGUCAGAGUUUUUGAAGAAGGUUUGAAAUGGGGACCAGUUUUAUCUCACACCAGGCACUGGGUCCUUACUUAACUGUGCAAGUCCAUGUAGAUUUCUUACCCUAAAAAAUAGUAUUAUGCAAUAAUCAGAUAUUAUUCGGUGAGUAUUUGGUAAGUAACAACUGCCCUGAAGAUUAAAUUAAAGGUCUUAAAUAAGAGUUUAAAGAAAACAGGUUUUGGGGAAAAAAAGUCUUUGAAGGUACCUACUUGAGUUCAGAUUUAUAUUUCCUCGAAGAUGUUGACAUUUCUCCUUUGCACUUGUAACAUAUUUGUUCAUAUAUGCCAUUGUACAGCUCCUUUUGAGCUGAAUAUUGUACUGGAAUACAGCGAAUGCCAAAUAUAAGAUGUGAAACUGGAGGAGAUCAUAUUUCCUACUGCAUAAAAUGCACUUCUGGAAUUUUCAGUUCUUCUUUUCUGCAAUAUUACAAAUGCCUUUUAUAAAGUAUCGUGGCUGAUGAGCUUAAAAAAAAGAAAUAAGAAAAAAAAAGAACAACGCCUGUGGCUUUGGAUGUAUUCACUUCGAGUCUGUGGUUAAUAUUUCCCAGGCUGCUUAGAGGUGAGCCGAAGUUCAGUCAUCGCCGCUGCUCCGCCAGUCUCUGCUGCUGUUUCUAAAUGAUUCUGAUAAAAGAUUGUGAAAAAUAGACCUGUGGUAACUU